UUGAGAACCCGACCCUAUCGAUUCCGGCAUCACGGGAACGUAUGUCGAUGACGGGGACGUUUUCGAAUGGUGGUGCAUCGCUUCGUCAGCCGCGGACUCGUCACGAGAAGAGUGACAACAGCGCAGCGCCAGGAGCUCAGAGGAGGAAGGUAACGGCGAUGCAGACAAAGGAACUGGAGAUAAUUUGAGUGAAGGGUGGGUUAGGUUCAUCUGGGAGAUCAGAUAUUCACUUGAUUAAAAACCACAAAGUUACAAUCUUCGUCUCACAACUCCAGUUAAACUGACGAUCAAAACGCGUCAUUAUUUGGAAACUUAAAGGUCUUUAUAGAUUAACAUAAGGACGUAAUUAAAUAAUAGGUUAAUACUGAUCAAAUUGUAUACAUCUUAACGAAUUGUACGCAAAUAAACAAAUAAACUUGCUUUAGAGUCCUUUUUGUCA
Folsomia candida is the source of this 439-nucleotide long non-coding RNA. RefSeq lists it as uncharacterized. The record is from RefSeq and is a predicted model, not a curated record. Lineage: Eukaryota; Metazoa; Arthropoda; Collembola; Entomobryomorpha; Isotomidae. The transcript has 2 exons.